This 301-nucleotide ribosomal RNA is filed under the name uncultured bacterium. Its description in RNAcentral is "partial 16S ribosomal RNA". It matches the Rfam family "Bacterial small subunit ribosomal RNA", at positions 509 to 807 of the family's 1533-position model. The record is from RNAcentral.
CAGCCGCCGCGGGAAUACGUAGGGUGCGAGCGUUAAUCGGAAUUACUGGGCGUAAAGCGUGCGCAGGCGGUUAUAUAAGACAGAUGUGAAAUCCCCGGGCUCAACCUGGGACCUGCAUUUGUGACUGUAUAGCUAGAGUACGGUAGAGGGGGAUGGAAUUCCGCGUGUAGCAGUGAAAUGCGUAGAUAUGCGGAGGAACACCGAUGGCGAAGGCAGCCCCCUGGGCCAAUACUGACGCUCAGGUGGGAAAGCGUGGGGAGCAAACAGGAUUAGAUACCCCCGUAGUCCCUGUCUCUUAUAC